AGGGUUCGAUUCUGGCUCAGGACGAACGCUGGCGGCGUGCUUAACACAUGCAAGUCGAACGAAAAGACGGAAAGAGCUUGCUCUUUUCAGAAUUGAGUGGCAAACGGGUGAGUAACACGUAAACAACCUGCCUUCAGGAUGGGGACAACAGACGGAAACGACUGCUAAUACCGAAUAGCUUCCAGAGAUCGCAUGAUCCAUGGAAGAAAAGGUGGCCUCUACCUGUAAGCUAUCGCCUGAAGAGGGGUUUGCGUCUGAUUAGCUGGUUGGAGGGGUAACGGCCCACCAAGGCGACGAUCAGUAGCCGGUCUGAGAGGAUGAACGGCCACACUGGAACUGAGACACGGUCCAG
Molecule: ribosomal RNA, 352 nt
Filed under: uncultured bacterium
Lineage: Bacteria
Description: bacterial SSU rRNA
Rfam family: Bacterial small subunit ribosomal RNA
Source: RNAcentral